RNAcentral lists this microRNA precursor (120 nucleotides) under Mus musculus (house mouse). RNAcentral's name for it is "predicted gene, 55699 (ENSMUSG00002076869.1)". Lineage: Eukaryota; Metazoa; Chordata; Mammalia; Rodentia; Muridae. The record is from RNAcentral.
AGUAUGCGAUUCAUGUGAUGCCCACCAGAAUGUGCAUGUGUGUAUAGUUGUGUACAUAUUCACUUCUGUAUAUGAAUAUGCAUAUACUCACAUGCAAACAUACUCCCUCGAAUGGCCUGA